RNAcentral lists this ribosomal RNA (253 nucleotides) under uncultured bacterium. Its description in RNAcentral is "partial 16S ribosomal RNA". It matches the Rfam family "Bacterial small subunit ribosomal RNA", at positions 524 to 776 of the family's 1533-position model. The record is from RNAcentral.
GACGGAGGGGGCAUGCGUUGUCCGGAAUCACUGGGCGUAAAGCGCGUGUAGGCGGUCGUGUGCGUCGGUGCUGAAAGCGCCCGGCUUAACCGGGCGAGGCGUGCCGAUACGAUGCGCCUGGAGGCAGGAAGAGGGCGGCUGAAUUCCGGGUGUAGCGGUGAAAUGCGUAGAGCUCCGGAGGAACGCCGGUGGGGGGGCCGGCCGCCUGGGCCUGACCUGACGCUGAGACGCGACAGCGUGGGGAGCAAACCGG